Molecule: ribosomal RNA, 440 nt
Filed under: uncultured bacterium
Lineage: Bacteria
Description: partial 16S ribosomal RNA
Rfam family: Bacterial small subunit ribosomal RNA
Source: RNAcentral
CCUACGGGAGGCAGCAGUGGGGAAUAUUGCACAAUGGGGGAAACCCUGAUGCAGCGACGCCGCGUGAGGGAAGAAGUAUUUCGGUAUGUAAACUUCUAUCAGCAGGGAAGAAAAUGACGGUACCUGACUAAGAAGCCCCGGCUAACUACGUGCCAGCAGCCGCGGUAAUACGUAGGGGGCAAGCGUUAUCCGGAUUUACUGGGUGUAAAGGGAGCGUAGGCGGGUGAGCAAGUCAGAAGUGAAAGCCAGGGGCUCAACUCCGGGACUGCUUUUGAAACUGUUGAACUAGAGUGCAGGAGAGGUAAGUGGAAUUCCUAGUGUAGCGGUGAAAUGCGUAGAUAUUAGGAGGAACACCAGUGGCGAAGGCGGCUUACUGGACUGUAAAUGACGCUGAGGCUCGAAAGCGUGGGGAGCAAACAGGAUUAGAUACCCUUGUAGUC